Molecule: ribosomal RNA, 972 nt
Filed under: Parabacteroides johnsonii
Lineage: Bacteria; Pseudomonadati; Bacteroidota; Bacteroidia; Bacteroidales; Tannerellaceae
Description: bacterial SSU rRNA
Rfam family: Bacterial small subunit ribosomal RNA
Source: RNAcentral
CGAGGGGCAGCAUGAUAAGUAGCAAUACUUAUUGAUGGCGACCGGCGCACGGGUGAGUAACGCGUAUGCAACUUACCUAUCAGAGGGGGAUAGCCCGGCGAAAGUCGGAUUAAUACUCCAUAAAACAGGGGUUCCGCAUGGGACUAUUUGUUAAAGAUUCAUCGCUGAUAGAUAGGCAUGCGUUCCAUUAGGCAGUUGGCGGGGUAACGGCCCACCAAACCGACGAUGGAUAGGGGUUCUGAGAGGAAGGUCCCCCACAUUGGUACUGAGACACGGACCAAACUCCUACGGGAGGCAGCAGUGAGGAAUAUUGGUCAAUGGCCGAGAGGCUGAACCAGCCAAGUCGCGUGAAGGAUGAAGGAUCUAUGGUUUGUAAACUUCUUUUAUAGGGGAAUAAAGUGUGGGACGUGUCCCAUUUUGUAUGUACCCUAUGAAUAAGCAUCGGCUAACUCCGUGCCAGCAGCCGCGGUAAUACGGAGGAUGCGAGCGUUAUCCGGAUUUAUUGGGUUUAAAGGGUGCGUAGGUGGUAAUUUAAGUCAGCGGUGAAAGUUUGUGGCUCAACCAUAAAAUUGCCGUUGAAACUGGGUUACUUGAGUGUGUUUGAGGUAGGCGGAAUGCGUGGUGUAGCGGUGAAAUGCAUAGAUAUCACGCAGAACUCCAAUUGCGAAGGCAGCUUACUAAACCAUAACUGACACUGAAGCACGAAAGCGUGGGUAUCAAACAGGAUUAGAUACCCUGGUAGUCCACGCAGUAAACGAUGAUUACUAGGAGUUUGCGAUACACAGUAAGCUCUACAGCGAAAGCGUUAAGUAAUCCACCUGGGGAGUACGCCGGCAACGGUGAAACUCAAAGGAAUUGACGGGGGCCCGCACAAGCGGAGGAACAUGUGGUUUAAUUCGAUGAUACGCGAGGAACCUUACCCGGGUUUGAACGUAGUCAGACCGGCCUUGAAAGAGGUCUUCUAGCAAUAGC